Molecule: ribosomal RNA, 310 nt
Filed under: uncultured bacterium
Lineage: Bacteria
Description: partial 16S ribosomal RNA
Rfam family: Bacterial small subunit ribosomal RNA
Source: RNAcentral
AAGAGACAGCAGUAGCCGCGGGAAUACAGAGGGUGCAAGCGUUAAUCGGAAUUACUGGGCGUAAAGCGCGCGUAGGUGGUUUGUUAAGUUGGAUGUGAAAGCCCCGGGCUCAACCUGGGAACUGCAUCCAAAACUGGCAAGCUAGAGUACGGUAGAGGGUGGUGGAAUUUCCUGUGUAGCGGUGAAAUGCGUAGAUAUAGGAAGGAACACCAGUGGCGAAGGCGACCACCUGGACUGAUACUGACACUGAGGUGCGAAAGCGUGGGGAGCAAACAGGAUUAGAUACCCCAGUAGUCCCUGUCUCUUAUAC